Molecule: non-coding RNA, 75 nt
Organism: Streptomyces sp. F-1
Lineage: Bacteria; Bacillati; Actinomycetota; Actinomycetes; Kitasatosporales; Streptomycetaceae
Rfam family: ASpks TB sRNA
Source: Rfam
CUUCAGCGAGCCGAGCCACAACGGCCGGUCCCCGGCGCGUUCCCUGCCGUAGGUGGCCAGCAGUGCCUGCGCCUC